UAGUCCACGCCGUAAACGAUGAUUACUCGCUGUAGGCGAUACACAGUCUGUGGCUAAGCGAAAGUUUUAAGUGACCCACCUGGGGAGUACGUUCGCAAGAAUGAAACUCAAAGGAAUUGACGGGGGCCCGCACAAGCGGUGGAGCAUGUGGUUUAAUUCGAUGAUACGCGAGGAACCUUACCAGGGCUUAAAUGUAGAUUGACAGGACUAGAGAUAGUUUUUUCUUCGGACAAUUUACAAGGUGCUGCAUGGUUGUCGUCAGCUCGUGCCGUGAGGUGUCAGGUUAAGUCCUAUAACGAGCGCAACCCCUGUUGUUAGUUGCCAGCGAGUCAUGUCGGGAACUCUAACAAGACUGCCAGUGCAAACUGUGAGGAAGGUGGGGAUGACGUCAAAUCAUCACGGCCCUUACGUCCUGGGCUACACACGUGCUACAAUGGUAGGGACAGAGAGCAGCCACUGGGCGACCAGGAGCGAAUCUAUAAACCCUAUCACAGUUCGGAUC
Molecule: ribosomal RNA, 502 nt
Filed under: uncultured bacterium
Lineage: Bacteria
Description: bacterial SSU rRNA
Rfam family: Bacterial small subunit ribosomal RNA
Source: RNAcentral